Molecule: ribosomal RNA, 431 nt
Filed under: Pseudarthrobacter defluvii
Lineage: Bacteria; Bacillati; Actinomycetota; Actinomycetes; Micrococcales; Micrococcaceae
Description: bacterial SSU rRNA
Rfam family: Bacterial small subunit ribosomal RNA
Source: RNAcentral
UAUUGCACAAUGGGCGCAAGCCUGAUGCAGCGACGCCGCGUGAGGGAUGACGGCCUUCGGGUUGUAAACCUCUUUCAGUAGGGAAGAAGCGAAAGUGACGGUACCUGCAGAAGAAGCGCCGGCUAACUACGUGCCAGCAGCCGCGGUAAUACGUAGGGCGCAAGCGUUAUCCGGAUUUAUUGGGCGUAAAGAGCUCGUAGGCGGUUUGUCGCGUCUGCCGUGAAAGUCCGAGGCUCAACCUCGGAUCUGCGGUGGGUACGGGCAGACUAGAGUGAUGUAGGGGAGACUGGAAUUCCUGGUGUAGCGGUGAAAUGCGCAGAUAUCAGGAGGAACACCGAUGGCGAAGGCGGGUCUCUGGGCAUUUACUGACGCUGAGGAGCGAAAGCAUGGGGAGCGAACAGGAUUAGAUACCCUGGUAGUCCAUGCCGUAA